RNAcentral lists this ribosomal RNA (469 nucleotides) under uncultured Streptococcus sp. RNAcentral describes it as "bacterial SSU rRNA". It matches the Rfam family "Bacterial small subunit ribosomal RNA", at positions 910 to 1382 of the family's 1533-position model. Lineage: Bacteria; Bacillati; Bacillota; Bacilli; Lactobacillales; Streptococcaceae. The record is from RNAcentral.
UUGACGGGGCCGCACAAGCGGUGGAGCAUGUGGUUUAAUUCGAAGACAACGCGAAGAACCUUACCAGGUCUUGACAUCCCGAUGCUAUUCUAGAGAUAGAAAGUUACUUCGGUACAUCGGUGACAGGUGGUGCAUGGUUGUCGUCAGCUCGUGUCGUGAGAUGUUGGGUUAAGUCCCGCAACGAGCGCAACCCCUAUUGUUAGUUGCCAUCAUUCAGUUGGGCACUCUAGCGAGACUGCCGGUAAUAAACCGGAGGAAGGUGGGGAUGACGUCAAAUCAUCAUGCCCCUUAUGACCUGGGCUACACACGUGCUACAAUGGUUGGUACAACGAGUUGCGAGUCGGUGACGGCGAGCUAAUCUCUUAAAGCCAAUCUCAGUUCGGAUUGUAGGCUGCAACUCGCCUACAUGAAGUCGGAAUCGCUAGUAAUCGCGGAUCAGCACGCCGCGGUGAAUACGUUCCCGGGCCUU